This 509-nucleotide long non-coding RNA is filed under the name Pan troglodytes (chimpanzee). RNAcentral describes it as "long non-coding RNA NONPTRT008623". The record is from RNAcentral. Lineage: Eukaryota; Metazoa; Chordata; Mammalia; Primates; Hominidae.
AGACUGAAGUCUUCGGUUUUGAAGACGUAGGCUGCAUUUUUGGGGGAACGACGAAGGAAAUCUAUUUGAUUUGUAAAACUCCCUUGCUGAAUGUACUUCUCAGACUGGAAAUAGAUCAAGACUCCAUCUUAUAGGGGACUGGUGAGAUGAACGAUGGCAGAUUCAAUAAUGCAAACCUGUCUGUAUCUUCUUAAAAGGAUGAGGAAGCUCUGUUUACCUAAAUGAAAAGCUUUCUAGGAGGAAGUCGUAAGUGAACAAUGAUGCAUGAGGAUGCAAUCUUACAGGCAAGGAGCCCAGUGAUAACAAAUGGCUGUAGAUGCUUUUCUCCGUCAAGCUUCCAGGAGGAGAUGAGAUGGAGCCCAUCGCUGAGCCAAGGUCACCAGCCCCAUUUCACAGAUGUAAAUAGCAGGUGUCCCCCACACAGUCUGAACACUUGGAGGCCAAGAUUCAUUUCUCUCAGGGCCCACCAUCCUCAAGCAUGGGAUUGAUUUAGUGCCUCUUGCUGGGAA